GUAGGCAAGAAUUUUACAAAGUAUGUCAGAUAAAUUAAUUUGAGAAUCCACCUCAUCACUUGCAUGUCUAGAAGAGAGUACCAAUGAAAUGAUCACUUCAACAAUUUACAGAUUUCAGAACUUACAACACUACAUGUGGAAUGCCUCGUUACAGUUGGUUUAAACAAUAUGGUAACUGUAUUCAUAUUAACAAGGCUGACAAUGUACAAAAGUCAUUUUCUAUGUACACAUUUUCUCCCUUCACAUAACAACAUGCAUUCUCCAUCCAAAACUCCAAGGAAAGGUUGUACCAAGCAGAGAAUGAAGAUUAGCUUGGUUGGGGAGAAAAUCAAGGUGAGAAAUCUUGCCCUGAUCCAAAUAAUAUUCUAAACAUGGUUGCCUCCACCAUAAGCCUCCGUUUUCAGUUUAAGAAUAGGCGAGGCAGGAUCUCUGGACAAUACAAAAUUUCCUUUGAGAUCCGUUUUUCCAUAUUCUUUUACGCGAGAAUCCAUCACAAUACCACAAGAUCUCCAUGUCUCUGCCAUUAACUCCACACCAUAAUAAAUUAUAUGAUCCGAAAUGCUGGUCCCACUUACUGACCUGCUGCAGGUAGGAUCCUCGCCAGUAACAUCACAGACCUUCUCUACUGUGUAGACCAGACUUCCCAAUCCAACGUUAUACAGCCAAACCUCUCUUGGGAAGUGAUGGUAUGUCUUCUGAGGGAAGUAACUAUAGUAUGGAGGCAAAUGAGGCACAAUAUCAUG
Molecule: unclassified non-coding RNA, 743 nt
Filed under: Hevea brasiliensis (rubber tree)
Lineage: Eukaryota; Viridiplantae; Streptophyta; Magnoliopsida; Malpighiales; Euphorbiaceae
Source: RNAcentral